Molecule: ribosomal RNA, 254 nt
Filed under: uncultured bacterium
Lineage: Bacteria
Description: partial 16S ribosomal RNA
Rfam family: Bacterial small subunit ribosomal RNA
Source: RNAcentral
UACAGAGGGGGCAAGCGUUGUUCGGAAUUACUGGGCGUAAAGGGCGCGUAGGCGGCCUUCUAAGUCGAACGUGAAAUCUCCACGCUCAACGUGGAGGGGCCGUUCGAUACUGUCGUGACUCGAGUCCGGUAGGGGAGUGUGGAAUUCCCGGUGUAGCGGUGAAAUGCGCAGAGAUCGGGAGGAACACCCGUAGCGAAGGCGGCACUCUGGGCCGGUACUGACGCUGAGGAGCGAAAGCGUGGGGAGCAAACAGG